This 496-nucleotide ribosomal RNA is filed under the name uncultured bacterium. RNAcentral's name for it is "bacterial SSU rRNA". It matches the Rfam family "Bacterial small subunit ribosomal RNA", at positions 28 to 507 of the family's 1533-position model. The record is from RNAcentral.
GGCUAACGCUGGCGGCGUGUCUUAGCCAUGCAAGUCGAGCGGACUUAUGGGGGUAACUUAUAAGUCAGCGGCGGACGGCGGAGUAACACGUAGCUAACCUACCCUCUGGACGGGGAUAACCUACCGAAAGGUGGGCUAAUACCCGAUGUAGUCAUCCUGUAUAGGGGUGAUGAAAGGUGGGCUUCUGUUUACAAGCUCAUGCUGGAGAGGGGGCUGCGGCCUAUCAGGUAGUUGGUAGGGUAAUAGCCUACCAAGCCGAUGACGGGUAGCCGGCCUGAGAGGGUGACCGGCCCGAGGGGCACUGAGAUACGGGUCCCACUCCUACGGGAGGCAGCAGGCUAGAAAUUUGGGCAAUGGGGGAAACCCUGGACCCAGUGACGCCGCGUGCAGGAGAGCCCUUCGGGUGUAAACUGCUGUCGUGUAGGGAGAAGGGUACUAAGGUGAACAAUCUUAGUACUUGACGGUACUACAGGAGGAAGCCCAGGCUAACCUCGUG